CCACCCAUGGCCAGGAUGAAAGGUCCGUAACAGGUCAUGGAGGUGAGGACCCACGCCUGUUGCGAAAUGCGGGGAUGCGGUGUGAAUAGGGGUGAGAUGCUAAACAGACUCGGAGAUAACUGGUUCGCCCCGAAAAAUAUUUAGGUAGUGCCUCAGGUAACACUUCCGGGGGUAAAGCACUGUUAUGGCAAGGGGGACAUUGCGGCUGACCCAGCCAAUGCAGACUAAGAAUACCGGAAAGCGGAAGCAUGGGAUACCGACAGCGGGAGCUAACUUCCGUUGUCGAGAGGGAAACAAUCCAGACCGCCAGCGAAGGUCGCAUACGGCAGUUUAAUUGGUAUACGAAGAGCGGAGGACCAGGGCGCCAGGAUGUGUGCUUAGAAGCUGCCAUCAGUUGAAGAAAG
Molecule: non-coding RNA, 404 nt
Organism: Neisseria zoodegmatis
Lineage: Bacteria; Pseudomonadati; Pseudomonadota; Betaproteobacteria; Neisseriales; Neisseriaceae
Source: Rfam